Molecule: transfer RNA, 59 nt
Filed under: Mus musculus (house mouse)
Lineage: Eukaryota; Metazoa; Chordata; Mammalia; Rodentia; Muridae
Rfam family: tRNA
About the family: Transfer RNA (tRNA) molecules are approximately 80 nucleotides in length.
Source: Rfam by way of RNAcentral
GGGGAUGUAGCUCAGUGGUAGAGUUCUUGCCUAGCAUGCAUGAGACGGUUCCAUCCCCA